RNAcentral lists this long non-coding RNA (658 nucleotides) under Nicotiana tabacum (common tobacco). RNAcentral describes it as "long non-coding RNA (NTAB_LNC001749)". Lineage: Eukaryota; Viridiplantae; Streptophyta; Magnoliopsida; Solanales; Solanaceae. The record is from RNAcentral.
GGAGGUUAGGUUAACCGACUCAAAAGUUUACACCUGCACAGUUUGUAUAAUACCAAAAAGACAAUCAUAGCUAUAAAGCGUAAUAAGCUUGACUUACAUUUUGCUUGACCAAGUUUCUCAUUCUUCUAGUAAAAUGUAGUAUGUUUCUCAUGCAGUCAUGGAACCCAAAACUCUAAUUUUCAAAUUAAAAAAAUCAAUGCCCGAGAUCAAAGAAACCCUCCUAAAGAGAAUUUGGUUAACCAUUUUGGAAUAAUGCAGUAAUAAUUCCGAUGGGCGUUGAAUAUUUUCCACACAGCAACCAAAUUUGACAGUUUCCACCUCUUGAUAACAAAACCACUUCGAAAUUCUCCAAAAAGCCGUGCUAGCAAUGAUUAAAUAAUUCAGUACAUCCACAGAAAAUCCUUUAACUGUGCCAUGAACAAAACUAUUUUUGUAGAACUCACAAUGUCUACUCUUUAUCCACAAGGGAUGAAGAGCUUCCUAAAGGAAACAGGUUCAUUCCCAGCCUGUGGCGCCAGCAGUUGGGGCGGCAUCUGACACAGGAACUGGAACAGGUGCAGCUGCAGUGUCCCAGCCUCCUCCAGCAGUUGGGGCGGCAUCUGACACAGGAACUGGAACAGGUGCAGCGGCAGUGUCCCAGCCUCCUCCCUCAGCCACU